This 253-nucleotide ribosomal RNA is filed under the name uncultured bacterium. Its description in RNAcentral is "partial 16S ribosomal RNA". It matches the Rfam family "Bacterial small subunit ribosomal RNA", at positions 524 to 776 of the family's 1533-position model. The record is from RNAcentral.
UACAGAGGGGGCAAGCGUUGUUCGGAAUUACUGGGCGUAAAGGGCGCGUAGGUGGCCUUCUAAGUCGAACGUGAAAUCCCUGGGCUCAACCCAGGAACUGCGUCCGAGACUGGGAGGCUUGAAUCCGGGAGAGGGAUGCGGAAUUCCAGGUGUAGCGGUGAAAUGCGUAGAUAUCGGGAGGAACACCUGAGGCGAAGGCGGGCUACUGGGCCGAUACUGACGCUGAUGUGCGAAAGCCAGGGGAGCGAACGGG